GGCCUGCGGAAGGAUCAUURMUGAAUUCACUAUGGAGUUGUUGCUGGCCUCUAGGGGCAUGUGCACGCUUCACUAGUCUUUCAACCACCUGUGAACUUUUGAUAGAUCUGUGAAGUCGUCUCUCAAGUCGUCAGACUUGGUUGCUGGGAUUUAAACGUCUCGGUGUGACUACGCAGUCUAUUUACUUACACACCCCAAAUGUAUGUCUACGAAUGUCAUUUAAUGGGCCUUGUGCCUUUAAACCAUAAUACAACUUUCAACAACGGAUCUCUUGGCUCUCGCAUCGAUGAAGAACGCAGCGAAAUGCGAUAAGUAAUGUGAAUUGCAGAAUUCAGUGAAUCAUCGAAUCUUUGAACGCACCUUGCGCCCCUUGGUAUUCCGAGGGGCAUGCCUGUUUGAGUGUCAUUAAAUUCUCAAACUCACUUUGGUUUCUUUCCAAUUGUGAUGUUUGGAUUGUUGGGGGCUGCUGGCCUUGACAGGUCGGCUCCUCUUAAAUGCAUUAGCAGGACUUCUCAUUGCCUCUGCGCAUGAUGUGAUAAUUAUCACUCAUCAAUAGCACGCAUGAAUAGAGUCCAGCUCUCUAAUCGUCCGCAAGGACAAUUUGACAAUUUGACCUCAAAUCAGGUAGGACUACCUCSCAUGAACUUAAGCAUAUCAUAA
This 660-nucleotide ribosomal RNA is filed under the name Pleurotus eryngii. RNAcentral's name for it is "eukaryotic LSU rRNA". The stretch from base 252 to 405 matches the Rfam family "5.8S ribosomal RNA". The record is from RNAcentral. Lineage: Eukaryota; Fungi; Basidiomycota; Agaricomycetes; Agaricales; Pleurotaceae.